Molecule: ribosomal RNA, 269 nt
Filed under: uncultured marine eukaryote
Lineage: Eukaryota
Description: partial 18S ribosomal RNA
Rfam family: Eukaryotic small subunit ribosomal RNA
Source: RNAcentral
UUAAAAAGCUCGUAGUUGGAUUUCUGGUCUGAGCGUCCGGUCCGCCGCUGUGCGGUGUGUACUUGGUAUGACUCGGGCCUUCCUUGUAGGGAAUGUCUCUGGCAUUAAUUUGUCGGGGUCGGGAACUGCAUCGUUUACUGUGAAAAAAUUAGAGUGUUUAAAGCAGGCAUUUGCUGUGAAUACAUUAGCAUGGAAUAAUAAGAUAGGACUUUGGUUCUAUUUUGUUGGUUGGAGGCCAAGGUAAUGAUUAAUAGGGAUAGUUGGGGGUA